AAUGCCUGGACCCGGGCGCCUGGGUGGCGCAGUCGGUUAAGCGUCCGACUUCAGCCAGGUCACGAUCUCGCGGUCCGUCAGUUCGAGCCCCGCGUCGGGCUCUGGGCUGAUGGCUCGGAGCCUGGAGCCUGUUUCCGAUUCUGUGUCUCCCUCUCUCUCUGCCCCUCCCCCGUUCAUGCUCUGUCUCUCUCUGUCCCAAAAAUAAAUAAACGUUGAAAAAAAAAAUUAAAAAAAAAAAAUGCCUGGACCCUUGAAGGGGCAUCUAAAGGAACUGCCAAGAGGUCAAAGGCUCGGGACGAGGAGCGGAGAAAACCAGAACCUCUGCCCAUCUUGGACCUACACAAUGCUGAGAGAAGAGAGGCAGCCAGCGAAGGGACCGCCGUCGGGAACCUGGUGAUGUGGCCUUGCCCUGUUCUCAUCCUCCCACCACACGUCCCCGGUCAAGCCCCCCGCCCCCAAGAGCCCUCAGCCCCGGGAAGACCACCCAGAAUGAGCUCCGCACAGGAGACCGUGCCUGCCUUGGCGCCCAGAGGACCCAGAGUUGCUGAGCCCCCGGCCCCAACCUGGCACGCUCGAGGCGGCUUUAAGAGGUUCACAACUCCCCGAGUGCAGUGUCCAUAAGGCGGCCUCCCGGCUCGGUGGAGGGCUCAGGGCUUGGAUGACAGCGUCGACUAGAUUUCAACCACCACCGUCCCCUUGGAAAGAUGCCAUUGGGCAGGACACAACCUGCAUGACUGUACACGGCAGGGCUCAUGGAGGCACACAGGCCAAGAUCAGCUCUGGGGAGAAUGUGGGAGUUGCAGGGACUUGGGGGGCAGGGAGAGGCCGGGGGCAUCUCGGGAAGGCCUUGGAGACAUGCGGUCUGGUUCACCACAGUGGUCACAUGCGCCUGGCAAGGCUGCAGAUCGACAGACACCCCUGCACCCGGGGGUGGGGUCCACACCCUCAUACCCAUGGGGCCACCACAGCUCAGGAGCCUGUGGUCUUCACCUUGAGCUGGGACUGGACACUGUGUUGGAGACCGAAGACAGGAGAGAGCCCUGCCUUCUACUGAAAGGGGAAAUGUGCAACCACACAGAACAGGCAUGGGGACGAUCACGUUCCUCCCAAAGCCAACGACAGAGCCACCCUAGAAGCCAGCAACCCCACUCCUCGGCGUCCACCUGAAGGAACUGAAAACAAGCGUUCCAACAAAACCCUGCACAUCCACACUCGUGGCACGUUACUCACAACUGCCAAAAGAUGGAAACCACCCAGCGUUCAUCAACGGAGGCACGGGUGACCCAGACGUAGCGUCCCUGCAAUGGAAUGCGAGUCCUCCGUAAAAACGAUGAACCUUGAGGACAUUAUGCUGAGUGAGAGACAAGAACAAAGUCACAAGAGGAUAAGUACUGUGUGAUGCAGCUUCCAUGAGAUGUUCUUAACGGAAAUCCGUACAGCUAGACAGAGGCUGGCCAUGCAACGUUGUGAGUGCAUGAAAUGCCACCGACUUGUGUGCACUUCAAAACGGCUAAUUUUAUGUUGCGCAUCUCAAUUAAAAAAAUGAUCAAGAAAGCAAAUGAGCAACGACCACAGCGGUCUACAGUGCUUCUUACAGACCAGGGCAGGGGCGGUUUUCUAACUAUUCACCAACAGCACUGGAAGAGCGCUGGCCAAGCCAGUCCUUCCCUGACGGCUUGUGGGGAAUC
This is a long non-coding RNA of Acinonyx jubatus (cheetah), 1688 nucleotides long. RefSeq lists it as uncharacterized. The transcript has 4 exons. The record is from RefSeq and is a predicted model, not a curated record. Lineage: Eukaryota; Metazoa; Chordata; Mammalia; Carnivora; Felidae.